UACGUAGGGUGCAAGCGUUGUCCGGAAUUAUUGGGCGUAAAGAGCUCGUAGGCGGUCUGUCGCGUCGGCUGUGAAAUCCCGGAGCUCAACUCCGGGCCUGCAGUCGAUACGGGCAGACUGGAGUUCGGCAGGAGAGACUGGAAUUCCUGGUGUAGCGGUGAAAUGCGCAGAUAUCAGGAGGAACACCGGUGGCGAAGGCGGGUCUCUGGGCCGAUACUGACGCUGAGGAGCGAAAGCAUGGGUAGCGAACAGG
This 253-nucleotide ribosomal RNA is filed under the name uncultured bacterium. Its description in RNAcentral is "partial 16S ribosomal RNA". It matches the Rfam family "Bacterial small subunit ribosomal RNA", at positions 524 to 776 of the family's 1533-position model. The record is from RNAcentral.